AAUUCUUGGACAAAAGAGAAGCACACAAGUAGGGGGAGCAAGCUCAUGAACAUUGAUUGUUUGCAUUUGAUAUGUGCAUAUUCAUGUGCUUGCUUGCAUCGCAUAUGUUUUAAAUUCAAUAUGCAUGCUUGUGUGGUGUAUGCUAGUUAUAGAACUUGAUUGAUGAUAUGAUAACUAGCAUGCAUAGGUUGGUAGCUAGACUUGUGUUCUUCAUGUAAAGACUAGACCCUUGCUUAUAAUGUUGAUCUCACGGGGUUUCUACUGUUUUUGUUGUCUAGCUACUCAUGGUGCUAAGGAUGGUGUACAUUGAAUGCUUCAAAUGCUAUCGAACUUGGUAUCGAGCUACAAAGGUUUAUUCUAUACACCUUAGCACUUAAUAGGGUUUUAUGGUGCUUAUCCAAAUCUUGACAUAGAGCUUAAAUGUUGGAUAAGUAGCAUAAAAUCCAAAUCAAGUUAGCAGUUUACA
This 466-nucleotide long non-coding RNA is filed under the name Sorghum bicolor (sorghum). Its description in RNAcentral is "long non-coding RNA (SBIC_LNC010886)". Lineage: Eukaryota; Viridiplantae; Streptophyta; Magnoliopsida; Poales; Poaceae. The record is from RNAcentral.